UUUGCCGAAGAUGAAUUAGAUGAAGCUUAUAGAAAUGCUGUGAGAUUUGAGGAGGAGACUAUACUACUGCAACAAUCCUGUAUGAUUAUCUACGGAAAAUAUCCUUAGAGCUACUGAAAGUAGGAACGAGAGGCCCUAACACUAAAACAAACUCCAUUCAAUCAAACUGUGGUGAGAAUUCAGAUACAGGGUCUGUUAUGGAGGCUCAGGUGCUUGAAGGAAGAA
Long non-coding RNA from Neltuma alba, 225 nucleotides. RefSeq lists it as uncharacterized. The transcript is spliced from 3 exons. Lineage: Eukaryota; Viridiplantae; Streptophyta; Magnoliopsida; Fabales; Fabaceae. The record is from RefSeq and is a predicted model, not a curated record.